UCUGGUGAUGAAGCAUCUCUGUCAAGAGGUUCAUCCGGCAUUUCAGAUGAUAUGGAGUCUUCAUCUCCUCGAUAUUUUUUGGAAUCUGAGGA
RNAcentral lists this unclassified non-coding RNA (92 nucleotides) under Arabidopsis thaliana (thale cress). Its description in RNAcentral is "small nucleolar RNA R23". The record is from RNAcentral. Lineage: Eukaryota; Viridiplantae; Streptophyta; Magnoliopsida; Brassicales; Brassicaceae.